CCAAAGGUUUUAUUUGGAUCCGAUUAUCAAAAAGACUCCCCAAAACCACAAAAUUAUUAUUUUAAAAAUUAU
Non-coding RNA from Hordeum vulgare subsp. vulgare (domesticated barley), 72 nucleotides. The record is from Rfam. Lineage: Eukaryota; Viridiplantae; Streptophyta; Magnoliopsida; Poales; Poaceae.